This 22-nucleotide non-coding RNA is filed under the name Arabidopsis thaliana (thale cress). The record is from RNAcentral. Lineage: Eukaryota; Viridiplantae; Streptophyta; Magnoliopsida; Brassicales; Brassicaceae.
UCUUAAGGUAGCCAAAUGCCUC